AGGAAGAAUUUCUACAUUGAGACAAGUAAGUGUGUGUUAUGUGAUGAUGAACCUAAUGAACAUCUAAUGCACCUCUUUUUUAGCUGUGAUUUCAGCCAAUAUUUCUAGAUGAACAUUGGUUACCAAUGGGACACUAAUUAUAACCCUAUAGAAAUGCUCCUGGAGGGUAGGAAACAGCAUACUUAUGGUUGUUUUAAAGAGUGUCUGAUUGCUGGAUGCUGGAGUUUAUGGAAGCACAGAAAUAGCAUCAUCUUUGAUCACAAGGUCAAGAAUAUGGCAUACUGUAUGGCCACUUUAAAGGAACACUUCAGCAUGAUCAUAAAGAAGGCAAAACCUGGAUUGAAGGAGGGCAUGCAAAGUUGGCUAGAUUAUUUGUAG
RNAcentral lists this ribosomal RNA (378 nucleotides) under Triticum aestivum (bread wheat). Its description in RNAcentral is "partial small subunit ribosomal RNA". Lineage: Eukaryota; Viridiplantae; Streptophyta; Magnoliopsida; Poales; Poaceae. The record is from RNAcentral.